Molecule: non-coding RNA, 1280 nt
Organism: Parasteatoda tepidariorum (common house spider)
Lineage: Eukaryota; Metazoa; Arthropoda; Arachnida; Araneae; Theridiidae
Source: RefSeq, a predicted model, not a curated record
UGAAAGAGCAGCCUGACUAUUGCUAACCGGAUGCCAGAUUUUCAUAGCAUGGAAUGAACGAGCAACAUUUUCCUGAUUAACAGAAGUAACCAGAAAUGAAUUCUGGCUUUAAGGACAUCGAAACAAGAAUUAUUACCGUCCUCAUUUCUAUUGGAAUGAACAUCCAUAGUUCACUGCAUGAUGAUGAACGUCGAAUGUAACAAAUUGAAAAAGAACUCUAUACAGGUCAAGAACUCUUUUUAUAUUAUGUGGAAUGUUCCUAAUUUGAACACUUUACGCAUUAAUUGCCUACACAUGUUAAUCUUGACUUAUGCAGAAAUUUUAGAUCGUUGAUAUUAGUUUCAAUCUUACUUUUCUUAUAAUAAUAAGCCUUAAGAAUUCUUUUUUAACAAGAUAUAAUUAAAAACAUUUCAGUUAAAUUUUGACCACAAUAUUCCUAAACUCUAUAGAAAGUCAAAGAGCAAACAGAUGUUCAUAAAUUUUAACUUUUUAUUUUUAACCAUUUUCCUUAAUGUGUCAAAUUACAAGAUUCCAAUAAAUAUUGGUAAAAGCAAAUACUGUUAGAUGCAAAAAUAUCAUUUUAUAAUAAAAAUAUAGGGCAUAUAAAGAACAUCUCUAAGUACGCUAAUUUCCUCAUCCAAUAGCAAAAUUUGUGAAGAACUUCUUUCCUUACCCAAUUUUUAAACUCUGAUUUAAGAUGUUGUGAGACGUUUUAUGAAGUCAUCGAGAAGAAUGUAAGAUUUUAACUCUGCUCAGAUAUUUUGUCUUUCAAGUUAUCCUUUGCUCUAGUAUAAUUGAAAACAUCGGGCGAUCACUCAGUCUUCGGAAUUGCUUAAUUAAGUGUUCAUUUCGCCAAACUUAUCCAAAUUUAGAUUGUUGACACAAAAAUUAGACGCAAUUAGCAUUCUUAUUGUGAAAGUAAUAAAAUUCAGUGCUUUCAAAUAAAAACAUUCAUUGUAAUUCUUUAUUAGCGUUUUUUUUCUUGAUUCAACUUUAAGUUAAAAAGGGUGUGAUUCGGAAAACAAUUAAUUCAAUUAAUAAUUAAAUUUAAAAUGUCAAGCAAUUCUCAAAGUUUUUGCUGGAAAUUUUGGUAUUUUUACAGAUGCACAAAACAGACUAAAAAUGCUUUUGAAGUUAUAUUUAAUAAUUCAGAAGUAUCUGAUUUUGAAUAUCAGAAACUGGACUUAUAUUUACGUCGUUCGGUACCAAGUUUAUAGAACGAAUUUUUAAUGAAACAAUUUUAGGGCACUUAUAAAACAUUCAAUUUGUCUGCUUUCACA